UAAAAAAUUUUGGCGGUAUUUUAAGCUUAUUAGAGGAAUUUGCUCUGUAAUGGACACAACGCCCCAAUCUUACUUAAUUUAGUAAUUUAAAACAGUUUGUAUACCACUAUAUUAAUUAUAUUGAAUAGUUAUAUUUAAAAUUUUUUUAAAAAAAUAUAUUAAGUCAAGGUGCAUCUUAUAAUUAUGAAUGAAGUGAAUUACAUUAAUUUUAAUGUAAUUUUUUACAUGAAAAAAUUAAUUAGGAUUUAAUAGUAAAAUACUAAUAUUAUGAGUAUUUGAAUCAAGCUCUAAAAUAUGCACAUAUCGCCCGUCGCUCUCAGAAGUGAGAUAAGUCGUAACAAAGUAAAAAUACUGGAAAGUGUUUUUUAAAAUGAAAUCAUUUGAUGUUUCAUUUACAAUGAAAAUUUUGUUGUUUAACCAUUUUAA
This 426-nucleotide ribosomal RNA is filed under the name Ixodes scapularis (black-legged tick). Its description in RNAcentral is "partial 12S ribosomal RNA". Lineage: Eukaryota; Metazoa; Arthropoda; Arachnida; Ixodida; Ixodidae. The record is from RNAcentral.